AGGAUUCACAGUUUGUCUGGUUAUGCUGCUUUGUGAUGACAACUACUGUACAAUAAAUAAUAAAUGGUCAUUUUUUUGUUCAACAAUAAAUGUGAAUUCUUCUUCAUGGAAAAAUAAGACAUCCCCUGAAAAUAAGACCUAGAGCAUCUUUGGGAGCAAAAAUUAAUAUAAGACACUGUCUUAUUUCCGGGGAAACACGGUACUAUUACUUCCAUGUAUAUCAAUCUAUGGUAUGUAUAUUUACCAAUUCUGCAUGCUCUGGUGUUCUGUUUGGUGGGCAUGCUUCAAAGACAAACUGUGCUAGGUCUUACUUUUGGGGGAGGCCUUAUAUUUAGCAAUUCAGCAAAACCUCUACUAGGUCUUAUUUUCAGGAGAUGUCUUAUUUUCGGGGAAACAGGGUAGUAAGAUAACUGAGUAAGAACCAAUGCGGCCUGAGCCCUGCCACAUACACAAUGGAGGACCUUCUUAGAGCCACACUAGAGGCAUUUCUGGUCAAAAGAAAUUUGGUAUAAUGCCAAGUUUUUAACUUUGUGGGUUUUUUUUAAAAUACAUGAUAGCUGUUGUAAUGAAGUAUGAAUUUUUGAUUUACAGAUGUUAUGUUUAAUUGUGUGUUUGUGUUUUAAAAGGGUAAGUUAUUGCAUCUCAGCACUCGGAGACUGGUUGCCAUGGAGAAGUAGGCGGAGCCAACUGCCGUUUUGUUGAAGAAGUGCAGAGUGUAAAAAAGGGAUUCAGUCUGUGCUCUGAUGAGGCACAGGAAAGAUUGAUCCCAGGUUGAGGGGAUCAAGGAGACUCAAUUGUUCAUUUUUUGAGUCGGUUUAAAAUAAGUUUGAUGACUUAUUUAAUGUAGUCUGUGUAAUGUAAGGAACAGAGAAUCUGUGAUCGUAUAUCAAAGGGUGACUGCGGUGUAAAAGUAUCAGAGGAAGAAGUUCUAACUACUUUAAGUAAAAGAAGUGACACUUUAGAGAGUUUGACUCACCUCAUUCUAGUAUUCUAACUGUUAAUAAAAGUGCCUCUAAGUGAGAACAACAUUGUAACCACUAAGCUCUGUGCCUGAAUAAACUUGUUAUUGUUCCUCCAACAUCUAAGCCUCUGUCGCAUAUAUUAUAAACCAAGUUGCGUUACCAUUUAAAGUGAAUAAGAAUAAUAAAGAAAAAAUUAAUUAAAAGGUCUCCUCUCUUAGUCUUUGGUGGUUGCAUCUUCGCAGCUGUAUUCUCAAUUUGCUUUUGAUGCAACAAAUAAAUAAAGGAGCUAUCCAAGGUGACAUCCAAGAUAAGCUCAGUCACCUUGGAUAGCUCCCUGGAAACCUAAAGAAAAACAUGCAUACCUCACAAACUCACAACCUCUGAGGAUGCCUGCCAUAGAUGUGGGCGAAAUGUCGGGAGGGAAUACUUCUGGAACAUGGCCAUACAGCCUGGAAAACACACAACAACCCAAACAUGCAGUUGUCUCAGAAGGAUAAUGACAUGGAU
Molecule: long non-coding RNA, 1469 nt
Filed under: Anolis carolinensis (green anole)
Lineage: Eukaryota; Metazoa; Chordata; Lepidosauria; Squamata; Anolidae
Description: lncRNA (ENSACAG00000035431.1)
Source: RNAcentral